GCAGAUCUGAUCUGGUUCAGUGUCGGCUUCUCCGCCAAUGGGCUCUGAGCUCUUUGAGGCCUCACUAAUCAAUCCUACUCACCUCUGGACCCAGUGCAGGGGCUGGCACGUGGACAGUCAGAAGUUCACAUUGCCUCGAAUUGAAGGUCUGGUGAUUCACAGGAGAUAAGAUGUCAUUUGUGAAAUUUGAAAAGAUUAUCUCCUUUUUUGCGGGCCUCAACACAGAAAUAUACCAGUGCUAUGAAUAGAGAUUUCAAUUACUUUAUUUGUUUUUUUUUUUUAAAAACCCUUUUAAUAAUGGAAGAAAACCCACCAAUGAGUUGUGUGGAUGUCUGUAAUUUUUUUUUUCCUUCAAGAAUUUGUUUUCUGCCUCAUUAAUAGAAACUCUCCCACACAUUGCAAGAACCUUUCCUCCCCUUUGCUGGGAAGGACGGUCAAGAAAUGACUUGUGUUUUAUUUUUUUCAUGGGCUUGGGAUAGAUAAUUGCUUAAAGAUGAAUUUUGGACUGCUGAUAAUCCAAUUAGGGUCUUGGGCAUAAUUGUUUCUAUGUAACCUGAUGCCUUUUAUCCUCCAUGCUUCUAACUUCCGAGGCCGGUUCUCUUGGCAACAGCACAUCUUCCUGUGUGAGACAGUGGCACAGCCACUGGGAGGUGGGCUCUGCUCAGCAGAACUGGGCUCCGUGGUCUCGCCUAGCCAGAUGGGAUUCUGGAAAACAAAAUGUGUGUUAGCACCAGAUGGAUGGAUGUCACUCAGUGCUGACCAGAUGGUACAAACGGCUGAACUUCUCAGAAGCACUAUUAACUGUAGGAGUGGUUUGCUUUUGCCUUAAGAUAUAUAAUUUGAAAAAUAUAUAUUGGUCAUUAUUAAGGAAACUAAAGAGCAACCGGCGAGGAGGCCAAAGUGGGUAUUCCGGAGAUGAUGCGGUCCUUCAUCCUGACAGGUGUGGAGUCUGAUUUCCUGACCUAUGAUUGCCAGUUGAAAUGAUAUAGACUUUGAUGUCGGGCAGGAUUGGAUUAAUAUCCCAAGUCCUAACCUCUCACAGCUGGCUGGGUCAUCUUGGACAAAACAGGGUAACUUCCUUGGGCCCCAGUCUCCUUGCCUGUAAAAUUGGGGAUUGUGGUUCCUUUGCAGAGUUGGGGUUAAGAGGGAAUGAGUUGACACAGGCACAGCACCUAUCCUGGUUUCUAGAAUAGAGGAAAUGCUCCGACUAUGAUGACCUAUUAUAAUGAUUAUUACUUCGAAGAAAGAACAGAGGGCUCCUAGUCAGAAAGCCCUGGAGGCCAAUGUCAAGGGCUGUACAUCAACUCCUCUUCUGUUUUAAUACUGAAUUAACAACCAGGCAGGGGGAAAAAUGGAACAUUUAAAUAUUUAAACCAAACAUUUAAUUUUUAAACAUGAACAUUCUUUUUAUAAGUUGGACUGCUCUUCAAGGCCUGUUGAAAAUUCCCUGAGCCUCUGCUAUCUGCCCUCCUUUGGGACGUGUGCUAGAGAACACUGCUAACCUUGGAUGCCUCUGAACUUGGCAGGGGACGGUACAUUUGUUUUAUUCAGAAGAAGGCACAUUUGUGUCCUAAUAAAGAUAUUACUGACAAGUUUCUGUAAAGAAAG
This 1608-nucleotide long non-coding RNA is filed under the name Vulpes vulpes (red fox). RNAcentral describes it as "lncRNA (ENSVVUG00000019361.1)". The record is from RNAcentral. Lineage: Eukaryota; Metazoa; Chordata; Mammalia; Carnivora; Canidae.